This is a long non-coding RNA of Rhododendron vialii, 1784 nucleotides long. RefSeq lists it as uncharacterized. NCBI's taxonomy places the organism in Eukaryota, Viridiplantae, Streptophyta, Magnoliopsida, Ericales, Ericaceae. The record is from RefSeq and is a predicted model, not a curated record. The transcript has 5 exons.
UCUCUGUCCUGCAAUUUUUCUUCACCCCCAUGGGCCAUGGCUCUCUCUCUCUCUCUCUCUCUCUCUCUCUCUCUCUCUCCUUUCAGGCUUGUUCACGCUCAACCCAAACAAAAUGAUUUGCCGUCUCCCUUUCUAGCACACGCACAUACGCAGAGGAAGAGAGAGAGAUAAUCCAAGAAUUUAGGUUUUAGAGAGAGAGAAAGAGGGGCAGAUCCAACGGGGCAUGUAAUUGGGUUUCAGAUUUUCGGCAAUACCCUAACUGGGAAUACGAUCUAUUCACGUGUCUAGACGCAAGUUGUUUCCUCGGGUUUUGCCAUUAGGAAUAUCGGUUGACAAAGCAGGCGGAGAGAAGUGGAAGCCUAUUGGAUUUUUGUAGUUUAUUGCAGUGAUUUUGAACUAAAGUGGAGCUCUGAAAUUUUUUGGAAGGAUUUUGGGUACCUGUAGUGUCGUCAACCGUGCAUAAAUGAAUGGCACUGUAAGUUCAGUUAAUUAACGAACUUAAAUUGCUUAUAGUAAUGAUCUUUUUUAUGGGGAAGAAGUUGGUGUUCAUAUGCAUUAUCUGCUUAGGUUUGUUGUUUUUGCAAUAGAAAUUAAAUUUGUUGUUGAGCCUUCAUAUACAAACUAGGGAUCACUUUUUUUAAUUUCAUUUUCAUAUUUGGAUGUGAUUGAGCUGGCCGGAACGUGCUCUAUCUUUUCUACAGUUUGCAUCAUUUAACCUUAGGCAAUAUGUAGCGCUUUUGUUGGGGUUAGAUUACGCCAUAUUUGAACGACUUCUAAAGAUUUGAGAUUUGAGCUUGCUAAUGUAGUUUCGAACGGUCAAAGUUGCUAACUCUACAUAGUGGUGAUGCUAUGUGGGCAAGAUAUUCCUGUGUUUAUUGGAAUCAAGUAAACUAACAUGUGUGCAUGUAUAGUCUGGUUGCUCCAUGUUGGACGCAUCCGUUAAUCUAGGUUAUUGACAAUCGUAAGCAAACAAUUCAAUUACAAGAUUAGAAAAAUGCGGUUGUGGUGCUACCCUUUCACACGGAUCUUUGUUUUAUGAUUAUAACAGCUAUUGAAUUUCUACGUUGUGCACCUGAAGGGAAGUGUAUGCUUGUGGUCCACUAUUUCUUUUCUCUUUUAUUUUUUCCUUUGUCCCAUUUUACUUAUGUUUCCUUUCGGGCUUUUGUCCCUUUGUUGUAUAGUAAAUUGUAAUCCUUUUGACACAAUGUCCUUCUCUGUUAUAGGUUUGUAUAACGAUUUUAAACCCCAUGAGUUGUGAGAAACUUCAGAUUUUAACAAAUUGUUCUGUGCUUGCUUGGAUCAAGUGAUCACUUCCAGCGAGAAGCUCAGAUAGACUUGCACACUAAGAAAAAGGCACCCUGCAGAAGGAUAACUGGCUUCCAGUUCUUCCCACAAGAUCUGAGUAAACUGAAUCAACUGAUGGUCACCUGUGCGGAUUCACAAGUCAGAGUCCGUGGGAUUAAUGUGGUGGGAAAAUAUAGGGGUACGAUCGUCCUCUUCCGCCUAAGAUACUUCGUAGCUAGCAUAUUUGACAAUUUGUUCCCAACCCCCCCCCCCCCCCCCCCCCCCCCCCGGCUGUAUUUGAAUCAAGGUUUUAGCCUUUAGGUAAGAAAAAGGAAAUGAAAACUGAAAAGUUGGAGGGUAACGACUCCAAAUACACAGGCAAAAGGGGUUUUGCCCACUUUCUGCACUGUUUCCAUUUUUGUUGUACAUGGUGAGCUGGAAACAUGUAAAAGUUGUACAUGUUAUACUUCAUUUAGAGGAAGAACGAUUCUACUUCUAUC